Molecule: ribosomal RNA, 253 nt
Filed under: uncultured bacterium
Lineage: Bacteria
Description: partial 16S ribosomal RNA
Rfam family: Bacterial small subunit ribosomal RNA
Source: RNAcentral
UACAGAGGUCUCGAGCGUUGUUCGGAUUCAUUGGGCGUAAAGGGUGCGUAGGCGGUCGGGUAAGUCUGAUGUGAAAUCUCACAGCUUAACUGUGAAACUGCAUUGGAUACUAUUCGGCUUGAGAGUUGGAGGGGGGACUGGAAUUCUUGGUGUAGCAGUGAAAUGCGUAGAUAUCAAGAGGAACACCAGUGGCGAAGGCGAGUCCCUGGACAACUUCUGACGCUGAGGCACGAAAGCUAGGGGAGCAAACAGG